This 282-nucleotide ribosomal RNA is filed under the name uncultured bacterium. RNAcentral describes it as "partial 16S ribosomal RNA". It matches the Rfam family "Bacterial small subunit ribosomal RNA", at positions 337 to 615 of the family's 1533-position model. The record is from RNAcentral.
ACCUACGGGGGGCAGCAGUGAGGAAUAUUGGCCAAUGGGCGCAAGCCUGAACCAGCCAAGUCGCGUGAGGGAUGACGGUCCUAUGGAUUGUAAACCUCUUUUGUCGGGGAGCAAGGCCCGCCACGUGUGGCGGGAAGGAGAGUACCCGAAGAAAAAGCAUCGGCUAACUCCGUGCCAGCAGCCGCGGUAAUACGGAGGAUGCGAGCGUUAUCCGGAUUUACUGGGUGUAAAGGGUGCGUAGGCGGCUUGGCAAGUCAGUAGUGAAAUCCAUGGGCUUAACCC